Molecule: ribosomal RNA, 572 nt
Filed under: uncultured bacterium
Lineage: Bacteria
Description: bacterial SSU rRNA
Rfam family: Bacterial small subunit ribosomal RNA
Source: RNAcentral
UAGAGUUUGAUCCUGGCUCAGGAUGACGCUAGCGACAGGCUUACACAUGCAAGUCGAGGGGCAGCAUAAAAGUAGCAAUACUUUGGUGGCGACCGGCGCACGGGGGAGUAACGCGUAUGCAACCUACCUAUCAGAGGGGAAUAACCCGGCGAAAGUCGGACUAAUACCGCAUAAAACAGGGGCACCGCAUGGUGAUAUUUGUUAAAGAAAUUCGCUGAUAGAUGGGCAUGCGUUCCAUUAGGUAGUUGGUGAGGUAACGGCUCACCAAGCCGACGAUGGAUAGGGGAACUGAGAGGUUGGUCCCCCACACUGGUACUGAGACACGGACCAGACUCCUACGGGAGGCAGCAGUGAGGAUAUUGGUCAUGGGCGGGAGCUGACCAGCCAGUCGCGUGAGAGAGAUCUAUGGUCGAACUCUUUGAGGGAUAAUGAGACUGUCUGUUGAUGACCUGAAUAGAUCGCUACUCUGCACGCCGUAUCGAGUCACGUAUCGAUAUGGUAAGUGGAGUGUGUAUCCGUGAGUGACUACGAAUGCUAACGCAUAUGAUAGAGGAUGUGUACGUAUGUAUCCA